This is a non-coding RNA of Caenorhabditis elegans, 135 nucleotides long. The record is from Ensembl. NCBI's taxonomy places the organism in Eukaryota, Metazoa, Nematoda, Chromadorea, Rhabditida, Rhabditidae.
AACAAUUGAAGAGUUGUUCAAAGAAAAGAAAACUGAAAGCUUCCUAAAAACAUCAUAUUGGGGACGCAGUUUAUUUUGGAGUUUUUGCGUACAUAUAUAAAAUGUGUGAUUGCAAGCGUAAAAUAUAUUAUAAUG